Cyprinus carpio carpio is the source of this 832-nucleotide long non-coding RNA. Lineage: Eukaryota; Metazoa; Chordata; Actinopteri; Cypriniformes; Cyprinidae. The record is from Ensembl.
AAUGAGACCGGCUAUUAGUUACAUUGCAGGUGUUGCCUUGCAGCAUGGAUCUAAUGUCUCAACCUUCUGUCCCAGCGAAAGGGCAGCGUGUCCUUACGAAGCUACGCAAGGGUCUCACGACAACAAAAACCCAACAAAGUGAAGAGAAUGACAGAGCUGAAUCUUACCAGGCCAACGGUAGCAGGUUGUGUUGCCUUUUUUCACCAGUUGACGUCCACCGACUUGGCAGUUAUCUUGAGUUUGACAGUGUAUGCGGCUAAAGGGCCAUGUCUGUCUAUCUGGAUGGUUCAAUCUCUCUGGCGUUUUUCAGAUAUGAAACUCAUGUUUUUUUUGUGUGUGUUUUUUUUUUCUUGUUAGCUAACUGAACUUGUAGUCCCACCCUUUGAAUUCAAAUAAUUUGCAGUUGCUCUCUGGACCAGAUAUGAAGAGGGGCUCCAGAGAGAAAGACCCACACCCAUAAACACAUGUGUUUGGAGGAAGUUGGCUGUGGAGGAACUGGUGAAGUCAGCACGCAGAUGUUAAGGCCUUGAUAUUGUUUCUGCAAGUAACAUGAAAUCAAAAUAACCCAAUUUACUUUUCAAAUGCAUUUCUGGUCUUGCUUUGCAUGAAAAAAGGAAACAAAAUGUGGUCUUUAAACAAAAGGUACAACUUUUCUUUUUUUGGCUAACAUCCCCAUGCCCUCUUUUCAGCUCUUCUCUUUUAACCAUCUGUCUCCAUUCUGAAAUGAACUGAUGCUGGCUGUCAGCAGCCACAGAUGCCGAACAGACCGAGGGGACGCAGGCUGCACUGAGACACCCCCGCCAACUACAGCUGGAUCAUAUGGGCAAGGAUA